UGUUUGGUUUCUAUCAAUCUG
Non-coding RNA from Caenorhabditis elegans, 21 nucleotides. The record is from Ensembl. NCBI's taxonomy places the organism in Eukaryota, Metazoa, Nematoda, Chromadorea, Rhabditida, Rhabditidae.